Molecule: ribosomal RNA, 497 nt
Filed under: uncultured bacterium
Lineage: Bacteria
Description: partial 16S ribosomal RNA
Rfam family: Bacterial small subunit ribosomal RNA
Source: RNAcentral
GAUGAACGCUGGCGGCGUGCCUAACACAUGCAAGUCGAGCGAACAGACGAGGAGCUUGCUCCUCUGACGUUAGCGGCGGACGGGUGAGUAACACGUGGAUAACCUACCUAUAAGACUGGGAUAACUUCGGGAAACCGGAGCUAAUACCGGAUAAUAUAUUGAACCGCAUGGUUCAAUAGGGAAAGACGGUUUUGCUGUCACUUAUAGAUGGAUCCGCGCCGCAUUAGCUAGUUGGUAAGGUAACGGCUUACCAAGGCAACGAUGCGUAGCCGAGCGGAGAGGGUGAUCGGCCGCACUGGAACUGAGACACGCUCCAGGCUCCUACGGGAGGCAGCAGUAGGGAAUCUUACGCAAUGGGCGAAAGCCUGACGGAGCAGCGCCGCGUGAGUGAUGAAGGUCUUCGGAGCGUAAAACUCUGUUAUUGGGGAAGAACAAAUGUGUGAGUAACUAUGCACGUCUUGACGGUACCUGAUCAGAAAGCCACGGCUAACUACGUG